GACGAACGCUGGCGGCGUGCCUAAUACAUGCAAGUUGAGCGCUGAAGGUUGGUACUUGUACCAACUGGAUGAGCAGCGAACGGGUGAGUAACGCGUGGGGAAUCUGCCUUUGAGCGGGGGACAACAUUUGGAAACGAAUGCUAAUACCGCAUAAAAGCUUUAAACACAAGUUUUAAGUUUGAAAGAUGCAAUUGCAUCACUCAAAGAUGAUCCCGCGUUGUAUUAGCUAGUUGGUGAGGUAAAGGCUCACCAAGGCGAUGAUACAUAGCCGACCUGAGAGGGUGAUAGGCCACAUUGGGACUGAGACACGGCCCAAACUCCUACGGGAGGCAGCAGUAGGGAAUCUUCGGCAAUGGACGAAAGUCUGACCGAGCAACGCCGCGUGAGUGAAGAAGGUUUUCGGAUCGUAAAACUCUGUUGGUAGAGAAGAACGUUGGUGAGAGUGGAAAGCUCAUCAAGUGACGGUAACUACCCAGAAAGGGACGGCUAACUACGUG
This 497-nucleotide ribosomal RNA is filed under the name uncultured bacterium. RNAcentral's name for it is "partial 16S ribosomal RNA". It matches the Rfam family "Bacterial small subunit ribosomal RNA", at positions 28 to 507 of the family's 1533-position model. The record is from RNAcentral.